AUCAGCUAGUUGGCGGGGUAAUGGCCCACCAAGGCUACGACGGGUAGCUGGUCUGAGAGGACGAUCAGCCACACUGGAACUGAGACACGGUCCAGACUCCUACGGGAGGCAGCAGUGGGGAAUCUUGCGCAAUGGGCGAAAGCCUGACGCAGCAACGCCGCGUGUGUGGUGAAGGUCUUCGGACCGUAAACGGCUAACUCUGUGCCAGCAGCCGCGGUAAUACAGAGGGUGCUAGCGUUGUUCGGAAUUAUUGGGCGUAAAGCGCGUGUAGGCGGCCAACCAAGUCGGAUGUGAAAGCCCUCGGCUUAACCGAGGAAGUGCGUUCGAUACUAGCUGGCUUGAGUACCGGAGAGGGUGGUGGAAUUCCCGGUGUAGAGGUGAAAUUCGUAGAUAUCGGGAGGAACACCAGUGGCGAAGGCGACCACCUGGACGGAUACUGACGCUGAAACGCGAAAGCGUGGGGAGCAAACAGGAUUAGAUACCCUGGUAGUCCACCCUGUAAACGAUGAACGCUAGGUGUUGCGGGUGUUGACCCUGCAUGCCGAA
RNAcentral lists this ribosomal RNA (546 nucleotides) under uncultured bacterium. Its description in RNAcentral is "bacterial SSU rRNA". It matches the Rfam family "Bacterial small subunit ribosomal RNA", at positions 240 to 850 of the family's 1533-position model. The record is from RNAcentral.